CAGCUCCAUAUUUACAUGUGUUCAGCAUACGUUACCAUGGUGAUUUAACCAGACCAGAAAACCGUCACAGACUAGCCAGGACAUCAAUGUCGAGCUCCAAACAGCAAGUCAGAGAAAAUGAGCCAACAGCUUCAUCAAACUGAUUAUUGAUCCAGAGAGUCAGUUUGAGUUGAUCCAGCUUAGACUCAGACAUUUCUCUCAGUCUGAUCCUGACACUCUGACACUUUCCAACGUCUACUUAACUUCUGCUGCAGGGAAAAUUUUAAAAUGUAAAUUUGUAAAUAUGGUUAAUUUCCCUUUUGUGUUUUCGUGAUGUCUAGUUUUUUUUUGUAUAAAAUAUAACAAAUGGCAAUCAAUGUAGAGAUUCAAGGGAUUGAAAGGUGUAAUAAUUUUCAGUUUCAAUUCAGUUAUGGUUAAUAAAUAAGGACAAAGGUAACACACUGUUGCAGUUACCAAUGGUAUUUUUGUUUUGUAUAUUUUGUAGCCUUUACGGUGUGAUCACAAACGAGUCUGUUCCAUCGAAGGUUCAUCACUUGAGAGACCGUCUUUUCAACCUGGGAUGCUGUGCUCAUUGCUUUGGUUUAACCCUUUCACAAAUAGCGGUCACUACAGUGGACAGCUAUUCAAAGGCUGUUUUCUUAUAUGGUAUUCUUCAACAUAAACCAUUGGUCACUGAUGUGUCACUCCAUACGGCAGGGUUAUACUUGUUUUGUGUGUGUGUGUGUGUGUGUGUGUGUGUGUGAGAGACGUAAACUUGAUAGAGUGCAUAAAAUGUUGGAUAAUUUUGCAUGCAUGUCUAGCUAAUCAUCCUGAAUGCUAACACACUGUUAAUUUUUACAGAAAGUCAAAUUUAAAUAAAUUUAUGUGCCAUGUAGUCAUUAAAGAGUGAACAUGACAAACUGAACGAGUACAUGUAAAUAAUAAAAGCAGAACACAUUGAACACAUUCAGACAGCUAUAUGAGCUGAAAUUGUGGUCAUUAAUAUUUUGCAUAGUUGUGAACUGAGUUUUGUAACCUUGUAAACCGAAAUAUCCAAAAAUUUUAUGUUUGUGCAUCUCCAGAUAAAAAUUUGUGUAUGUAACAAUAUUUACACAAGUUACAAUUAAAUUCUUAAGGUCCGGUUACAGAUACAUAAAACUAAAUGCAUAAAAUGCAUAAAACUAC
Astatotilapia calliptera (eastern happy) is the source of this 1164-nucleotide long non-coding RNA. NCBI's taxonomy places the organism in Eukaryota, Metazoa, Chordata, Actinopteri, Cichliformes, Cichlidae. The record is from Ensembl.